This is a small nuclear RNA of Otolemur garnettii (small-eared galago), 126 nucleotides long. NCBI's taxonomy places the organism in Eukaryota, Metazoa, Chordata, Mammalia, Primates, Galagidae. The record is from Ensembl.
AACAUCCUUUUCUUAGGGUUGUGCUACUGUCCAAUGAGCGCAUAGUGAGGGCAGUUCCGCUAACACCUACACAACACGCUUGCAUCAACUAGAACUUUGCUUUAUACUGGUGUAAUUUCUGGAAAA